GGGCCCAUAGCUUAGUCUGGGAGCCUUUUGCAUUAAUUUGCAGGGUUGGACAAUAGAGCGCUAGUCUUAUAAGCUAGUGGUCGGCGGUUCAAAUCCGCCUGGGCCCA
RNAcentral lists this transfer RNA (107 nucleotides) under archaeon. Its description in RNAcentral is "tRNA-Ile". It matches the Rfam family "tRNA". From Rfam's summary of the family: Transfer RNA (tRNA) molecules are approximately 80 nucleotides in length. Their secondary structure includes four short double-helical elements and three loops (D, anti-codon, and T loops). The record is from RNAcentral.